Long non-coding RNA from Acanthopagrus latus (yellowfin seabream), 326 nucleotides. RefSeq lists it as uncharacterized. Lineage: Eukaryota; Metazoa; Chordata; Actinopteri; Spariformes; Sparidae. The record is from RefSeq and is a predicted model, not a curated record. The transcript is spliced from 2 exons.
AACUCUCUCUGCAGGAAGCGCCAGGUUAUACCACUUCCACUAAUCAACCACUCCAUAAAGCCUCUGGACCUUCAGUCACUCGUUGCCACAUCAUACUUUCAGCCAUAGCGUUGCUUCAUCUUGUCUCCUGCCUGCUUACCUGCUUGCCUACCUGCCUAACAAUCUACUACUUUACCUGUUGGUAAAGGACGCCGAGCAAAGGGGCUUCACUCACCGGCCACCGCCACCUCACCUCACGUACCCCGGGAUUCUCCAGCGUGUCACUCCUUUCCCCCUGCACUAUUAUUUAUUCACCGUGUCACAAAUAAAAAUUGACUUUGAAUUGA